RNAcentral lists this ribosomal RNA (492 nucleotides) under uncultured bacterium. RNAcentral describes it as "partial 16S ribosomal RNA". It matches the Rfam family "Bacterial small subunit ribosomal RNA", at positions 29 to 507 of the family's 1533-position model. The record is from RNAcentral.
AGUGAACGCUGGCGGUAGGCCUAACACAUGCAAGUCGAACGGCAGCACAGUAAGAGCUUGCUCUUACGGGUGGCGAGUGGCGGACGGGUGAGGAAUACAUCGGAAUCUACUUUUUCGUGGGGGAUAACGUAGGGAAACUUACGCUAAUACCGCAUACGACCUACGGGUGAAAGCAGGGGAUCUUCGGACCUUGCGCGAUUGAAUGAGCCGAUGUCGGAUUAGCUAGUUGGCGGGGUAAAGGCCCACCAAGGCGACGAUGCGUAGCUGGUCUGAGAGGCUGAUCGGCCACGCUGGAACUGGAACACGGUCAAUGCGACUACGGGAGGCAGCAGUGGGGAAUAUUGGACAAUAGGCGCAAGCCUGAUCCAGCCAUACCGCGUGGGUGAAGAAGGCCUUCGGGUUGUAAAGCCCUUUUGUUGGGAAAGAAAAGCAGCAGGUUAAUACGCCGCUGUUCUGACGGUACCCAAAGAAGAAGCACCGGCUAACUUCGUG